Molecule: long non-coding RNA, 631 nt
Filed under: Parus major (Great Tit)
Lineage: Eukaryota; Metazoa; Chordata; Aves; Passeriformes; Paridae
Description: lncRNA (ENSPMJG00000014575.1)
Source: RNAcentral
UCCUUUGAUGAGAAAACCUUGACGGCCUUUCAGAAGAGGAAGAAAUCCCUCCACUGCAGAGUCACCAGAGACUGGCUAUUACUAAUUGAUUCUACAUGGAGAACACAUAGUGGUGACAGCCAUCAGUCUGAAACAGAAGUGAUGGAAUCCAGUGGUGAGACUUUUUUGUCAGUUUUUGAUCCAGUUCUGGGGUGAUAAAGUAAGAAGAAUUUGAAAAGACCUGAGGAUGGCUGUAUGUGGGUAUUUUGAUCCAAGCUGUUCUCCUGUGUCCUCCUGAGAUGUGAUGAAGGUCUUUGGAACGGCAGUGUGAAGAGUAAGGGAUAUGCUAAGCUGCACAUCAGCUGUGUUGUAAGUGUCCAAUUUAUAUUUGUGCUUGAGGGCUCAUUCUGAUACCACUGUGCUGCAGAUAAUAUUAUGGAAGGUCUCUGUUAUCAGAGACUAGGGACAUGAUGCAUAUCAAAAUGGAAAAUUAGUAUAGUCAUUCAUAUAAUUAAAUCCACUAAUCCAAUCAUAAUGGCACAACUGCUACAUCCUGUUACUGUCUGGAAAGCAGGAUGUGUAUCCCAUGAGGCAGUCAGAGAGGGCAAUAUUUUAAAAUAAAUUCCAUCACUAGGUAUGUUAUAAUGCUUAA